UUAUGUGGAUUAAUCGAUGCAACGCGAAAAACCUUACCUACCCUUGACAUGUCCUGAAGCCUGGAGAGAUCCGGGUGUGCCCGAAAGGGAACGGGAACACAGGUGCUGCAUGGCUGUCGUCAGCUCGUGUCGUGAGAUGUUGGGUUAAGUCCCGCAACGAGCGCAACCCUUGUCAUUAGUUGCUACAUUUAGUUGGGCACUCUAAUGAGACUGCCGGUGACAAACCGGAGGAAGGUGGGGAUGACGUCAAGUCCUCAUGGCCCUUAUGGGUAGGGCUUCACACGUAAUACAAUGGCGCGUACAGAGGGUUGCCAAGCCGCGAGGUGGAGCCAAUCCCAGAAAGCGCGUCGUAGUCCGGAUUGCAGUCUGCAACUCGACUGCAUGAAGUCGGAAUCGCUAGUAAUCGCGGAUCAGCAUGUCGCGGUGAAUACGUUCCCGGGUCUU
RNAcentral lists this ribosomal RNA (444 nucleotides) under uncultured Nitrosomonadaceae bacterium. RNAcentral describes it as "bacterial SSU rRNA". It matches the Rfam family "Bacterial small subunit ribosomal RNA", at positions 937 to 1382 of the family's 1533-position model. The record is from RNAcentral. Lineage: Bacteria; Pseudomonadati; Pseudomonadota; Betaproteobacteria; Nitrosomonadales; Nitrosomonadaceae.